RNAcentral lists this small RNA (30 nucleotides) under Bombyx mori (domestic silkworm). Its description in RNAcentral is "ovarian small RNA-11829". The record is from RNAcentral. Lineage: Eukaryota; Metazoa; Arthropoda; Insecta; Lepidoptera; Bombycidae.
AGACCAAGAAGAGACGCGCUUGGCCAGCGU